CUGCUAUCGAGGUUCGACUAAGCCAUGCGAGUCGAAUGUAGCAAUACAUGGCGAACUGCUCAGUAACACGUGGACAACCUGCCCUUAGGUUGGGUAUAAACCCGGGAAACUGGGUAUAAUACCCGAUAGGUCUCGAUUGCUGGAAUGCAUCGAGAUUUAAAGCUCCGGCGCCUAAGGAUGGGUCUGCGGCCUAUCAGGUAGUAGUGGGUGUAGCGUACCUACUAGCCUACGACGGGUACGGGUUGUGAGAGCAAGAGCCCGGAGAUGGAUUCUGAGACACGAAUCCAGGCCCUACGGGGUGCAGCAGGCGCGAAAACUUUACAAUGCUGGCAACAGCGAUAAGGGAACCUCGAGUGCCAGGUUACAAAUCUGGCUGUCGAGAUGCCUAAAAAGCAUUUCAUAGCAAGGGCCGGGCAAGACCGGUGCCAGCCGCCGCGGUAACACCGGCGGCUCGAGUGGUAACCGUUAUUAUUGGGUCUAAAGGGUCUGUAGCCGGCCGGAUAAGUCUCUUGAGAAAUCUGGCAGCUUAACUGUCAGGCUUUCAGGAGAUACUGUCUGGCUCGAGGCCGGGAGAGGUGAGAGGUACUUCAGGGGUAGGGGUGAAAUCUUGUAAUCCUUGAAGGACCACCAGUGGCGAAGGCGUCUCACCAGAACGGACCUGACGGCAAGGGACGAAAGCUAGGGGCACGAACCGGAUUAGA
RNAcentral lists this ribosomal RNA (701 nucleotides) under uncultured Methanosaeta sp. Its description in RNAcentral is "bacterial SSU rRNA". It matches the Rfam family "Archaeal small subunit ribosomal RNA", at positions 27 to 733 of the family's 1478-position model. The record is from RNAcentral. Lineage: Archaea; Methanobacteriati; Methanobacteriota; Methanomicrobia; Methanotrichales; Methanotrichaceae.